AUGGCUCAGGCAACCAAAGGUCCCGCAGUGAAGCCCAUCUCUCCCACCGGUGUAGAUGCCCCGGCUAGGGUGGCGCACCCAGACUCACUUACAGUCCGGAGCCAUGGAAUUUUACAAAUCAUGAAUCGCCCGGCACAAUGGGUGGUCAUCAUCACACUUCUGAUCUCUUGGUCAAUAGCGGGUGUUGUCAUGUUUGACUUUGUCAGUGACGAUCAGAUUGCAAGCAUCCAAGAUUUCGGCUCUGAUCCAGUGCUAGCAGUGAACAAAGCCACUGAAGUCAUUGAAAACAGGAUAAAUCACAUGAAUGAUAUGUUUAAUGAUGCUCAAGAGUACAUCACUGAAAUAAUAUUAAAUCCAGUGGAAGCUAUGAGUUCAGCUGCUGACUCAUCUGUGUCUUAUCUGUCAGGAUUAUUUAGUGCCGAUGUAGAUUUAGGAAUCACUGAAACAGUGAAAUAUGGGGGCACUGUAUUGGAUGAGGCUACAGAAUGGAUCAGAUCGCCAGUGAGCUAUGUAUUCCAUUUAUUUGAAGACAUACUGGAUAUAGUGGUUGCUCCAGUGGAUAUGGUCAGUGAAGCUCUUGUGCAAAUUUUAAGUGGGAUCAAGACUGUUAUACAGUAUAUUUCCACAAUGUUUGGAGGCAUUGAAGAUAUCCUGGAUGUAGCAAUCAUUUAUCCAGCAGACAUUGUCAGUGAAGCAGCUCAGCAAAUGUUAAGUGGGAUCAAGACCCUUUCUUCAUCCAUAUUCGGGAACCUUGAAGCUUGGUUUCCCAAAAUAAGCACUGAUCCUGCAGAGCUGACUGAAAUAGUUGUAGAGGAGGCCACAGAACUGAAGACCACCGUUUCUAAUUACCUAUCCAGUCUGUUUGCAGUGGAUGAAGGUUGUAUUCCUGACAUUAGCUUUGAUCCCAUGAAAGUUGUCACAGACACUGUUGAGGAGUUUGCUGACAGGAGGGAUAUGUUCUUGGCUUAUCUCUCAAACAUGCUCAUGGAAGACAAAGAUGACACACCGCAAGUGAUAAGACGAAAAGGAGAAUUUCUGCCCCCUAUGGAAAAAGUUGCAGAAAUACUAGGCAAAACACAGGAUCCUGCCUAUGCUGCCUACAUUGCUGCGAGAUCCACAGACAGUACUAAACAGGAAAUAAAAGAGGUAGAAGCUGCUGAAGAUACAACUGAAAGAGCUCAAGAUAUUGUGGACACUCCAAAGGAGGAAAGGAGAGUUGAAACGGCUUGGGACCGCUCUGAUGUCACAGUUGAAGACGAUGAGGUUACCUACGAUGUCACGGAGGAGGAUAAAACUGCUGGAACAGUUGAAGAUAUUGCAGAUGUCACACAGGAGGAACUUUCUGAUAAAGCAGAAGUGAAAGCUGAGGAAGAAGCAACUGAAAAGGUUGAGGAUAUCUCAGAUUUCGCAGAGGACACAUCAACUGAAAUGACUGAAUCUGAUGAAUCUGAUGCUUCAGAUAUGAAAGACACUGACGAUACCUCAGAUGUUGUUACAGAGGAAGAAGAAGUUACUGAAACAUCUGAUAUUCCAGAAGUAACAGAUGACGAAAUAGAAACAGAAAAAUGUGAAGAUAUCUCUGAUUUUAAAGAGGACAAAUCAGCUGAAAUGACCUCUGAUGUGACGGAAGACAUUGAUGCGGUUACAGAGGAGGAAAUAGUUAUUAAAACAGCUGAAGAUAUUCUAGAUGUUACAGAGGAGGACACAUAUGACAUUCCAGAAGUCAUAGAUGAGGAAUUAGCCACUGAAAAGGCUAAUGAUAUCUUUGACUCUGUAGAGGAUGAGUUAACUAUGAUGACCUCUGAUGUGACAGAAGACACUGAUUACACCUCGGAUGUUGUUACAGAGGGAGAAGUUGAUAAACCAGUUGAAGAUAUUGCAGAUGUUACAGAGGAUGAACCAUCUGAUAUGCCAGAAGUCAUUGGCAAUGAUGAUACCUCAGAUCAAGAUACCUCUGCCGUUAUAGAGGAGAAAGAGUCAACUGAAACAAUUAAAGAAGCAACAAUUGAAACAGCAGAAGGUACUUCCUAUGUUACAACCAAAACUGAAUUAGAUAAUACAGAUGAAAAUGAAUUUCAGAAAUAUCCCAGUGUUACAGAGGAGGAGGAAAAACCUGAAAAAGUUAAAGAUACUUCUGAUUUGAUAAGUAAGGAAGAAGAACCUGAGACAGAUGAAGAUGCCAGCACUGAAGAAACAGCCGAAGAGUCGAUAGAAAAAGAACAGCCACGUGAAUUGGCUGAAGCUACUGUGACCAUCUCUGUAAAAGACAAGACUGAAGUAACAGAACUUGAUGAUCUUGAAGUGCUGGGUAAGGAUGACAUGAAAGUGGAAGGCAAGGAGGAGAAGGAAGAUGUGGUGAAUGCUGAAAAGGUCACAAAGAACCUGGAGAACGAUCUAGAUGAAGAUGAGGUUGAGGUUUUAAAAGAGGAGACUAAAGAUCAAACUAUCUUUGGAACCACCGCUGGUCAAGAUGGCCAUGAUGAUGAAGAGGAGCUUGUCCUUUCUCCUGUCCAGCAGGACCUAACAAACAGAGAUGAUGAAAAUAACAAUAACAAUGACAGGAAGAAAGAUGCCAUAAAAAGAGGCCUGAGCGGGAGAAAACCAUCAAAGAGUCACUCCACUGAAACAGAUGACCAAGAAGCUCACAAGCAUCUUCAUGAAGUUCUUGAACAAGUGAAAGAAGCCAAAGAGAAAAAAGCUAGAGAGGAGAUAUACAAAAUCAUUCAAGAUCUGAGGGAGAAGAAGGCUGAUGGUGAAGAGGAGGAGAUGACACUACAGCAAAUAAACAUAACAGUAGAAAAAGUCAAGAAAAGAAAAGAACAUGAGAAAAACGAGAUAGAAAAGGCUAAAAGAAAACAAAAAUCCAAAGAGGACAAGACUGAAGAACCAACAAGACCUGAGAAAAAGGUUAAACCAACUAAGAAAGAUGUUGAGAUGGCCAAGGACAAAACAGCCCAUGUAAAGAAAGAAGCUGAAGUGGCCAAAAAAGAGACCAAAUCAGCACCAUCUAAGAAAGGUAUUGUUUUAAGAGAUCUUGCUUUACUUAGCACUUAUAAUAAAGCAAAUUCAUAA
Molecule: long non-coding RNA, 3072 nt
Filed under: Carassius auratus (goldfish)
Lineage: Eukaryota; Metazoa; Chordata; Actinopteri; Cypriniformes; Cyprinidae
Description: lncRNA (ENSCARG00000033610.1)
Source: RNAcentral